UGCCCGUUCGUUUCAAAAAAAAAGAAGAAAAAACAAAGAAAAGUGCCAGUUCCAAUUCCCAAAUGUCCACAGUCCACCGCCACCGGCCGGCGGCCGCCGCCGCGCCGCCAUUCCAGAUCUGCCAUGGGGGUGGUCGCCGGAGCCAACGGGAAGGGGAGGCAGCCAGCAGAAGAGGAAGGGCAAGGCCCGGACUACAUCAGCGGCCUUCCGGACGCCGUCCUCGGCGACAUCGUCUCCCGCCUCCCCACAAAGGACGGCGCUCGCACGCAGGCCCUCUCCUCCCUGUGGCGCCACGUGCGGCGCUCCGCUCCCCUCAACCUGGACCUCCGCUUCCAUCCCAUCCCCCUCGGCAAGGUGCCCCGCGUCCUCUCCUCGCACCCGGGCCCUGCCCGCCGCUUCUCCACCCCCGCGUGCUACGGGAAGCUCCGCGACGCACCGCCGUGACCCUGGACGGCUGGCUCCGCUCCCGCGCCCUCGACGGCCUCCAGGAGCUCGACUUCCACUACGACAUCCCGGCUCGGGAUCGGGGGAAUCCUCCGCCGCUGCCCGCACCGGCACUCCGCUUCUCGUGCACUCUUCGCGUCGCCAGAUUCUGCUUCUGCCGUUUCCCGGAUGGAAUCGAUGUCCGCUUGCCGGUUCUCGAGGAGCUGCACCUUUCGCAUGGCAUCAUCUCGGAGAGUUCUGUGCAUGCCUUGCUUCGCCGGCUGCCCUGUUCUGCAGAGGUUGCGGCUAACUUACAAUGAUGGCUGCACUAGUGUUCGGAUCGCGUCCCCUACCAUCAGAAGCGUUGAUGUAGGUCGAGGUUCGGGAGACCUCGGUUUGCAGCAACUCGUCAUCGAGGAUGCUCCCUGCCUGGAGAGAUUACGUCAUGAUACUCCUAUUUCACAUCACAAGAUGAUGGACAUCUUGGUGAUCUCGGGGCCAAAAUUGAGCAUUUUGGGGCGUAUCUAUGAUCACUUUCCCAGAUUUGAGAUUGGCACCACAGUUUUUAAGGUCUUUAUCUUUGUCAAACAAGAGUCUUCGUUUGGGUUUGGUUCUUAACUUCAUGAAAUGCUUUCCCUGCUUGGAGCAGCUGAACAUCAAUGUGAGUAAACUUACUCUUUAAUUCAGUUUCCGUCUGCAUUGAUUAUUUUGUAACUUACUAUUGCUUCAAUACUUGUUCUAGAGUAGGUUGUCACUAUUUUUGUGUUUAUUUGGCCUUUCCCGACAUUAUUCUAAGGAAGGGAAAAUGUGUGGGGUAAUGGACUCUGCAAUCUUAUUAAUACCCAUGGCACUUGUUUGAAGAAAAUUGUGUUGAGAAACUAUAGAGGCAACGAGUCACAUGUUAACUUUGUCAAGUUCUUUGUAUUGAAUGCAAGGGUUAUAGAGUCAAUAAGGCUUGUGUUGAAGUUUAGGAACGUUAGCAAUAGUUGGAUUGAAGGACAGCGCAGCCUGCUUCAGUUUGAAAUGAGAGCUUCCAAGGGUGCACAGUUGGAUUUUGUGUCUUCUGAUAGUUUGCGUGAUGAGGAAACCGCGUGAUUUCUCCAGAGAGGACCUCAUUUCCAGCAUUUCGAUGUCUCUUCUCAUGGAAUAUUGUUCAAGAUACAGGAUUACCGGACCAUGAACCACAUACACCUAGGGAGAAGCAGAUUCCUGUCUGCUUGGGGCAAUGGAACAGUGACUUCAAUCUUGUUGUAGCUCUGCCAAAAGUGCAAGGAAGCCUGCAUUUUCACUUGUGCUACUGCUAACUACUGUACAUGUAUAAACUUGUAGACUUGUGAUAGUCCUGUCAACAGGGAUGGUCAUUUGGCUUGUCUGCUACAGGUUCUGUCGUGGAUCUAUGACUGCUAACUACUGUACAUGUAUAAACUUGUAGACUUGUGAUAGUCCUGUCAACAGGGAUGGUCAUUUGGCUUGUCUGCUACAGGUUCUGUCGUGGAUCUAUGACUGACCAGUUGCAGCAACUGAUUUCCUGCCCUAAGACUUGUUCCUGGCUGGUAGGAUGAAAGUACCAUGAUUGUAAACGCC
This is a long non-coding RNA of Setaria italica (foxtail millet), 2007 nucleotides long. RefSeq lists it as uncharacterized. The transcript has 3 exons. NCBI's taxonomy places the organism in Eukaryota, Viridiplantae, Streptophyta, Magnoliopsida, Poales, Poaceae. The record is from RefSeq and is a predicted model, not a curated record.